UACAGAGGUCUCAAGCGUUGUUCGGAUUCAUUGGGCGUAAAGGGUGCGUAGGCGGCUCGGUAAGUCGGGUGUGAAAUCUCGGAGCUUAACUCCGAAACUGCAUUCGAUACUGCCGUGCUUGAGGACUGGAGAGGAGACUGGAAUUUACGGUGUAGCGGUGAAAUGCGUAGAUAUCGUAAGGAAGACCAGUGGCGAAGGCGGGUCUCUGGACAGUUACUGACGCUGAGGCACGAAGGCCAGGGGAGCAAACGGG
RNAcentral lists this ribosomal RNA (253 nucleotides) under uncultured bacterium. RNAcentral describes it as "partial 16S ribosomal RNA". It matches the Rfam family "Bacterial small subunit ribosomal RNA", at positions 524 to 776 of the family's 1533-position model. The record is from RNAcentral.